CCCAGGCCCGGUUUACCAGUGCUGAGGCGGAAGUCGCGCGGGCGCCGAAACGCGCGCUGAGCCUCGGGUCCUGCAGCAUCCAAGCCGCCGUCAUGGUGCGGAAGCUUAAGUUCCACGAGCAGAAGCUGCUGAAGCAGGUGGACUUCCUGAACUGGGAGGUCACCGAUCACAACUUGCACGAGCUGCGCGUGUUGCGGCGUUAUCGGCUGCAACGGCGCGAGGACUACACGCGCUACAACCAGCUGAGCCGUGCUGUGCGCGAGCUGGCGCGGCGCCUGCGGGACCUGCCGGAGCGCGACCCGUUUCGCGUGCGCUCCUCGGCCGCGCUGCUGGACAAACUGUAUGCUCUCGGCCUAAUUCCCACGCGCGGGUCGCUGGAGCUCUGCGAUUUCGUCACGGCCUCGUCCUUCUGCCGCCGCCGCCUACCCACCGUGCUCCUUAAGCUGCGCAUGGCGCAGCACCUCCAGGCCGCCGUAGCAUUCGUGGAGCAGGGUCACGUGCGCGUGGGCCCCGACGUGGUCACCGACCCCGCCUUCCUUGUCACGCGCAGCAUGGAGGACUUCGUCACCUGGGUUGACUCGUCCAAGAUCAAGCGGCACGUGCUGGAGUACAAUGAGGAGCGUGACGACUUCGAUCUGGAAGCCUAGCGGGUCCUCCCUCGCCAGGACUGCAUUUUACUGAUGGGGAAGCUGAGACCUGAUGCCUGAGAUUCUGUGAAGGCGCCCUCCCCAAGAGUGUGUCAGCCAAGAACUUGGCUCCUCAGCUACAGGCCCUCGCAGAGCCAAAGGGGUCACAUCUGUAAGUCUCCCUGGCUCAGGAAUCCAGAGAAGAAGACUAGAGACAGCAGCGAUCUGCCUGUGGGUGAAGCCUGCAGCAGAGCCUGCGUGUGGAGGUUGCAGAAUGUUUUACAGGGCUGGGCAAAUUUUUCAGUUUACCAAUCCCUUCCUCGGAAUGAGUGUUUUGGCAGAGCUCUUCCCCACAGGACUUCCUGUUGAUAUUCCAGCCCCAGGAAAUACCAUAUUAGAGGUCUGAAGUGUUUGCUUGCCUAAGGAAAUAAUCACCCUGUAGCUUGGCCAUCUAGCGGUUAGAAGUGGCCCAAGAGGUUCCUGGAAACUUCUUAUGAGUGGAGCCCUCAGGAGGCCCUAGGGCUGCCUUCCCCGGAGCAGCACCUGCACAGCCUCUGCCCAUCACAGCCUGCCAUGGCUCCCUGCCCAGCCUUUAAUUUAGACAGAGAUUAAUUCUGAUUCCCCAAUUGGAAUGGGUUUUACUGAAAGAAGCAAAGGAUGGGUUGGGAGUCAGGGAGCUUAGCCUGAUGACAGUGCAGGAAUGUGAAGCAAGAGGAUCUGCUCUAAUCCACCCCCCUCACUGGAAGGGAGAGUAGGGAGACUACCUCAUUUACCCAAGACUUCUACGAGGAGAAUAAUAGAAUGCCAAGACCAAUGGAUUGCUUUUACGUGUGCCUUCUCCAUUUCCCCAGGUGUAAGGCAGCAUUUGGUGAAGAAACAAGGGAAGGUGACACUGGGGAUGACAGUAAUAGCAAAUGCUUCUACUGUAUGUCAGGCACUAAAUGCAUUACAUAUCUUAAUCCAUUUAAUCCAACAAUCCAAUGACAUGGGGAAUCCAAUUCUCUACUUUUCAGAUGAGGAAACAGAGACAGAGAUGGGUCAAACUGCCCCAGAUUGUAUAGCCAAGAAGUGGUGAAGCUGGAAUGCUCCUUUAAGAGUCGUGUGAACGGCAAGACGGGAAUAAAGACACAGACCUACUAGAGAAUGGACUUGAGGAUAUGGGGAGGGGGAGGGGUAAGAUGUGACAGGGUGAGAGAGUGGCAUAGACAUAUAUACACUACCAAAGGUAAAAUAGACAGCUAGUGGGAAGCAACCGCAUAGCACAGGGAGAUCAGCUCAGUGCUUUGUGACCACCUAGAGGGGUGGG
This is an RNA transcript of Balaenoptera ricei (Rice's whale), 1932 nucleotides long. It is a transcript of the gene named IMP U3 small nucleolar ribonucleoprotein 3, with no coding region annotated. Lineage: Eukaryota; Metazoa; Chordata; Mammalia; Artiodactyla; Balaenopteridae. The record is from RefSeq and is a predicted model, not a curated record. The transcript is spliced from 2 exons.